GUGACAAGGGCUCCGUGAUGGCUCGCCGGGAACGGGAACGUGCUGCUGCUGACGGAGCAGAUCCCAUCAGCUGCGGGAAGAGGAGUGACUGAGGAGUCCAAAAAAAGAUUUGAGUGAAAUGAAGCUGCCUGAGCUAAGCACCAGUGGCCCUGCCCAGCCUGUGCUCCCAAGGGGCUCAAACAAUAAAGACUGACUCUGUUAGUAACAGUUAUUUUGCAGAACAAGUCUAGAGAUCUAAUAAAAAACACAUAAAAAUCCAAAUCCACCAUUUUUUUCUUUCCCUGCAGACCCCAAGGAUCCACCUGCAACAAACUGACACACCAAGGUGGUGGCUAUGGCUGAGGAAAGCACAGCUACUGAGCAUGAGCAGCUCCUGAGGAGGGUGCAGGAGCUGGAAGUGGAGGUGAAGCGGCUGCAGGAGAAGCUCCAGGAGGACAAGGAGGGUGCAGGGAGGAAAGAGGCUCCUCCAGCCCCUGGGAAAGCCAGGAAACGCCAACAACGGCCCUUUGAUUUCGGUGCCCACAGCCGCAGACACGUGGCACUGCGCAUUGCCUACCUGGGCUGGGGCUACCAGGGCUUUGCCAGCCAGGAGAACACCCCCAACACCAUCGAGGAGAAGCUCUUUGAAGCCCUGAAGAAGACGCGGCUGGUGGACGACAGACAGACGUCCAACUACCACCGCUGCGGGCGCACGGACAAGGGUGUCAGCGCCUUCGGGCAGGUGAUCUCCCUGGAUCUCCGCUCCAGCCUGCCAGAGGGGCAGCAGCUCAACGGCCACGAGGGCGAGGGGCAGCAGGAGGAGCUCCGUUACACCCACAUCCUGAACAGGGUGCUGCCGCCCGACAUCCGGGUGCUGGCCUGGGCCCCCGUGGGGCCGGAGUUCAGCGCCCGCUUCAGCUGCCUGAGCCGGACCUACCGGUACUUCUUCCCCUGCGCCCAGCUGGACGUGGCCCUCAUGGACACCGCGGCCCAGCGCUACGUGGGCACCCACGACUUCCGCAACCUCUGCAAGAUGGACGUGGCCAACGGGGUGCUCAACUUCCAGAGGACGAUCCUCAGCGCCAGAGUGACAUGGGUGGACAGGGGAGGAGAAGCCAGGCCACGGGAUCCCUUCCGGCUGUGCCAGUUCGAGGUGACCGGGCAGGCAUUCCUGUACCACCAAGUCCGCUGCAUGAUGGCCGUGCUCUUCCUCAUUGGCCAGGGCAUGGAGAGCCCAGAUGUCAUUGAUGAGCUGCUGAACGUGGAGAAGAACCCCCGGAAACCACAGUACAGCAUGGCGGUCGAGUUCCCCCUGGUCCUGUACGACUGCGAGUUCCCAGACCUGCAGUGGCUCUAUGACCCAGAGGUGCAGGGCUUCAACGUGACACACUUGCAGCAGCUCUGGGCCAGCCACGCCGUCAAAACCCACGUGCUCCGGGACAUGUUGGCAGGGCUGGAUGCUGCUCCCAUGGCCAUCAGAAAAGAUUCAGGGAGCAGCCUGGUGCCCUGGGGUGAGCUGCAGCCCCCACUCCACAGCCAGAUCAGCGGCUUCGUGGAAGGGGUCCAAGCCCGCACCUACAAGCCCCUGCUGGCCCGGCCCAGAUGCGAGGGGCUGGAGGCCCGGAUCGAGCACUUCGUGCGGAGGGGCCGCAUCGACCCGCCCCAGGGCCCGGGGCUGCCGGGGGACUGGGCCGGGGAGCCCCCCGAGGGCAAGCGGGGCAGCAGCGCAGCCCCCGAGCAGCUGCCCAAGAGGAUGUGUAUGGACACCGAGUGACGGGGCACCUCGGCGGGGAGCAGCUGUCGCUUCAUCCUUUUUUAAAAUUACUGCGCUCCGCGGUGCCGUACCCGCGGCGCCGCCAUUGGCCAGCAGAGGGAGGCGGAGAAGGAGGUGGAAGAUGGCGGC
Vidua macroura (Pin-tailed whydah) is the source of this 1882-nucleotide RNA transcript. It is a transcript of the gene named pseudouridine synthase 3, with no coding region annotated. NCBI's taxonomy places the organism in Eukaryota, Metazoa, Chordata, Aves, Passeriformes, Viduidae. The record is from RefSeq and is a predicted model, not a curated record. The transcript is spliced from 5 exons.